RNAcentral lists this ribosomal RNA (255 nucleotides) under uncultured bacterium. RNAcentral's name for it is "partial 16S ribosomal RNA". It matches the Rfam family "Bacterial small subunit ribosomal RNA", at positions 99 to 354 of the family's 1533-position model. The record is from RNAcentral.
CGGACGGGUGAGUAACGCGUGGGCAACCUGCCCUGUACUGGGGGAUAACACCUGGAAACAGGUGCUAAUACCGCAUAAGCGCGCUGUGCCGCAUGGCGCGGCGCGGAAAACCCCGGUGGUACAGGAUGGGCCCGCGUCUGAUUAGCUGGUUGGCAGGGUAACGGCCUACCAAGGCGACGAUCAGUAGCCGGCCUGAGAGGGUGGACGGCCACACUGGGACUGAGACACGGCCCAGACUCCUACGGAAGGCAGCAG